Molecule: ribosomal RNA, 468 nt
Filed under: uncultured bacterium
Lineage: Bacteria
Description: partial 16S ribosomal RNA
Rfam family: Bacterial small subunit ribosomal RNA
Source: RNAcentral
GACGAACGCUGGCGGCGUGCUUAACACAUGCAAGUCGAACGGAAAGGCCCUGCUUUUGUGGGGUGCUCGAGUGGCGAACGGGUGAGUAACACGUGAGUAACCUGCCCUUGACUUUGGGAUAACUUCAGGAAACUGGGGCUAAUACCGGAUAGGAGCGCCUGCUGCAUGGUGGGGGUUGGAAAGUUUCGGCGGUGGGGGAUGGACUCGCGGCUUAUCAGCUUGUUGGUGGGGUAGUGGCUUACCAAGGCUUUGACGGGUAGCCGGCCUGAGAGGGUGACCGGCCACAUUGGGACUGAGGUACGGCCCAGACUCCUACGGGAGGCAGCAGUGGGGAAUAUUGCACAAUGGGCGGAAGCCUGAUGCAGCAACGCCGCGUGCGGGAUGACGGCCUUCGGGUUGUAAACCGCUUUCGCCUGUGACGAAGCGUGAGUGACGGUAAUGGGUAAAGAAGCACCGGCUAACUACGUG